This is a long non-coding RNA of Dermacentor silvarum, 2719 nucleotides long. RefSeq lists it as uncharacterized. The record is from RefSeq and is a predicted model, not a curated record. NCBI's taxonomy places the organism in Eukaryota, Metazoa, Arthropoda, Arachnida, Ixodida, Ixodidae. The transcript has 3 exons.
AAUUGACAAGGCUGAAUAUACUGCUUGCUAAAUACCUAUCACAUCAGCACAAUGUUCAACACAAUAAAACAAAAUAUACUUAUAACAUUAGCACAAGGUUCAACAUAACUAGGCAGCAGUCGGCAGCAGUCGGCAGCACUGGCAAACAACUAUGCUCUCAGAAUUAAUGGCUCACCUGCCAAGACAAUGAACGUGGCGAUGAGUACUCGGUGACUACUUCGCCACCGACUGCGGAGCACUGUUGAUUCGAAGCGUCUUUUAUAGUCCGAUAAAGGAUCCAGGCGCCACGGUUCGGUGCGAUGUCGAAGCUAGCAGCGGCCACUUUGGAGAGCAGCUUAGCGGGCAAUCAGGAACACCGCCUAAACCUUCCAGCUGAAUACUCGGGCCAUGCUUGGGACGAAGAAUUGCGCAGCCGCAGAAGCUUGCUCCAGGUUAUUUCACGGCGGCUAAAGCAGCACCUGCCAAGACAAUGAACGUGGCGAUGAGUACUCGGUGACUACUUCGCCACCGACUGCGGAGCACUGUUGAUUCGAAGCGUCUUUUAUAGUCCGAUAAAGGAUCCAGGCGCCACGGUUCGGUGCGAUGUCGAAGCUAGCAGCGGCCACUUUGGAGAGCAGCUUAGCGGGCAAUCAGGAACACCGCCUAAACCUUCCAGCUGAAUACUCGGGCCAUGCUUGGGACGAAGAAUUGCGCAGCCGCAGAAGCUUGCUCCAGGUUAUUUCACGGCGGCUAAAGCAGCACCUGCCAAGACAAUGAACGUGGCGAUGAGUACUCGGUGACUACUUCGCCACCGACUGCGGAGCACUGUUGAUUCGAAGCGUCUUUUAUAGUCCGAUAAAGGAUCCAGGCGCCACGGUUCGGUGCGAUGUCGAAGCUAGCAGCGGCCACUUUGGAGAGCAGCUUAGCGGGCAAUCAGGAACACCGCCUAAACCUUCCAGCUGAAUACUCGGGCCAUGCUUGGGACGAAGAAUUGCGCAGCCGCAGAAGCUUGCUCCAGGUUAUUUCACGGCGGCUAAAGCAGCACCUGCCAAGACAAUGAACGUGGCGAUGAGUACUCGGUGACUACUUCGCCACCGACUGCGGAGCACUGUUGAUUCGAAGCGUCUUUUAUAGUCCGAUAAAGGAUCCAGGCGCCACGGUUCGGUGCGAUGUCGAAGCUAGCAGCGGCCACUUUGGAGAGCAGCUUAGCGGGCAAUCAGGAACACCGCCUAAACCUUCCAGCUGAAUACUCGGGCCAUGCUUGGGACGAAGAAUUGCGCAGCCGCAGAAGCUUGCUCCAGGUUAUUUCACGGCGGCUAAAGCAGCACCUGCCAAGACAAUGAACGUGGCGAUGAGUACUCGGUGACUACUUCGCCACCGACUGCGGAGCACUGUUGAUUCGAAGCGUCUUUUAUAGUCCGAUAAAGGAUCCAGGCGCCACGGUUCGGUGCGAUGUCGAAGCUAGCAGCGGCCACUUUGGAGAGCAGCUUAGCGGGCAAUCAGGAACACCGCCUAAACCUUCCAGCUGAAUACUCGGGCCAUGCUUGGGACGAAGAAUUGCGCAGCCGCAGAAGCUUGCUCCAGGUUAUUUCACGGCGGCUAAAGCAGCACCUGGCAAGACAAUGAACGUGGCGAUGAGUACUCGGUGACUACUUCGCCACCGACUGCGGAGCACUGUUGAUUCGAAGCGUCUAUUAUAGUCCGAUAAAGGAUCCAGGCGCCACGGUUCGGUGCGAUGUCGAAGCUAGCAGCGGCCACUUUGGAGAGCAGCUUAGCGGGCAAUCAGGAACACCGCCUAAACCUUCCAGCUGAAUACUCGGGCCAUGCUUGGGACGAAGAAUUGCGCAGCCGCAGAAGCUUGCUCCAGGUUAUUUCACGGCGGCUAAAGCAGCACCUGCCAAGACAAUGAACGUGGCGAUGAGUACUCGGUGACUACUUCGCCACCGACUGCGGAGCACUGUUGAUUCGAAGCGUCUUUUAUAGUCCGAUAAAGGAUCCAGGCGCCACGGUUCGGUGCGAUGUCGAAGCUAGCAGCGGCCACUUUGGAGAGCAGCUUAGCGGGCAAUCAGGAACACCGCCUAAACCUUCCAGCUGAAUACUCGGGCCAUGCUUGGGACGAAGAAUUGCGCAGCCGCAGAAGCUUGCUCCAGGUUAUUUCACGGCGGCUAAAGCAGCACCUGCCAAGACAAUGAACGUGGCGAUGAGUACUCGGUGACUACUUCGCCACCGACUGCGGAGCACUGUUGAUUCGAAGCGUCUUUUAUAGUCCGAUAAAGGAUCCAGGCGCCACGGUUCGGUGCGAUGUCGAAGCUAGCAGCGGCCACUUUGGAGAGCAGCUUAGCGGGCAAUCAGGAACACCGCCUAAACCUUCCAGCUGAAUACUCGGGCCAUGCUUGGGACGAAGAAUUGCGCAGCCGCAGAAGCUUGCUCCAGGUUAUUUCACGGCGGCUAAAGCAGCACCUGCCAAGACAAUGAACGUGGCGAUGAGUACUCGGUGACUACUUCGCCACCGACUGCGGAGCACUGUUGAUUCGAAGCGUCUUUUAUAGUCCGAUAAAGGAUCCAGGCGCCACGGUUCGGUGCGAUGUCGAAGCUAGCAGCGGCCACUUUGGAGAGCAGCUUAGCGGGCAAUCAGGAACACCGCCUAAACCUUCCAGUUGAAUAUUCGGGCCAUGCUUGGGACGAAGAAUUGCGCAGCCGCAGAAGCUUGCUCCAGGUUAUUUCACGGCGGCUAAAGCAG